ACGGAUGAUUUAUAUACUGGUUCGGAUCUUACCAAUCCUACGUCCAGUCGCUUAUCUCAAAACAAGAUAAACAAUUCACUAAGAACAAAACAAUUACAAAUUACAAUCACAAAGAAACAAUUUGUAAGAGUUUAGAAACCACCUCUCUUGAUACCACAAGAGAUGAACCUACACCUCCUUCGAAUCUUCACAAAGGAUGAGACACCUCCGCCG
RNAcentral lists this long non-coding RNA (213 nucleotides) under Vigna radiata. RNAcentral's name for it is "long non-coding RNA (VRAD_LNC012613)". Lineage: Eukaryota; Viridiplantae; Streptophyta; Magnoliopsida; Fabales; Fabaceae. The record is from RNAcentral.